GUUUGUGGCUCAGUGGUAGAGCACUUGCCUAGCGAGUGAGACCCUGGGUUUGAUCCUCAGCAUCACA
This 67-nucleotide transfer RNA is filed under the name Marmota monax (woodchuck). Its description in RNAcentral is "tRNA.Ala". The record is from RNAcentral. Lineage: Eukaryota; Metazoa; Chordata; Mammalia; Rodentia; Sciuridae.